UAAGCGGAGGAAAAGAAACUAACAAGGAUUCCCCUAGUAGCGGCGAGCGAAGCGGGAAAAGCUCAAAUUUGUAAUCUGGCGUCUUCGACGUCCGAGUUGUAAUCUCGAGAAGUGUUUUCCGUGAUAGACCGCAUACAAGUCUCUUGGAACAGAGCGUCAUAGUGGUGAGAACCCAGUACACGAUGCGGAUGCCUAUUACUUUGUGAUACACUUUCGAAGAGUCGAGUUGUUUGGGAAUGCAGCUCAAAUUGGGUGGUAAAUUCCAUCUAAAGCUAAAUAUUGGCGAGAGACCGAUAGCGAACAAGUACCGUGAGGGAAAGAUGAAAAGCACUUUGGAAAGAGAGUUAACAGUACGUGAAAUUGUUGGAAGGGAAACACAUGCAGUGAUACUUGCUAUUCGGGGCAACUCGAUUGGCAGGCCCGCAUCAGUUUUUCGGGGCGGAAAAUCGUAGAGAGAAGGUAGCAGUUUCGGCUGUGUUAUAGCUCUUUACUGGAUUCGCCCUGGGGGACUGAGGAACGCAGCGUGCUUUUAGCAUGAGCUUCGGCUUAUCCACGCUUAGGAUGCGGGUUUAUGGCUGUAUAUGACCCGUCUUGAAACACGGACCAAGGAGUCUAACAUGCUUGCGAGUAUUUGGGUGUCAAACCCGGAUGCGCAAUGAAAGUGAAUGGAGGUGGGAAGCGCAAGCUGCACCAUCGACCGAUCUGGAUUUUUUAAGAUGGAUUUGAGUAAGAGCAAGUAUGUUGGGACCCGAAAGAUGGUGAACUAUGCCUGAAUAGGGCGAAGCCAGAGGAAACUCUGGUGGAGGCUCGUAGCGGUUCUGACGUGCAAAUCGAUCGUCAAAUUUGGGUAUAGGGGCGAAAGACUAAUCGAACCAUC
Molecule: ribosomal RNA, 877 nt
Filed under: Sporobolomyces sp.
Lineage: Eukaryota; Fungi; Basidiomycota; Microbotryomycetes; Sporidiobolales; Sporidiobolaceae
Description: partial 28S ribosomal RNA
Rfam family: Eukaryotic large subunit ribosomal RNA
Source: RNAcentral